CUUUUGGGUGCAAUCCUGCUGAACCGCUGCACCUAAAUAAAAUCCUCCUGUUCCACCCUAUUGGUCUUUCCCGUCUCCUGAUUCCCGCGACAUUUUGGUGAGCCAGCCAGGAGUUGGAGACAACAGGUUUGCUGUCUCCUUUGCCUGUGGGUCUGGGGCCCCAAGCCGGGGGGAGACCUAUGACCUCAGGUGCCAUCGUGGGAAGUUAACCUGGAGAAGGGAUUGGUUCUCCUGUGACCUGGUGCCCCUCCCAGUCUGCACAACGGAAUGUAAGGGGCUUCAGGAUGAUUCCAGGGACAGUGUGCUACGGGACCACGUUGCAGGAAUUGUGCCUUGGAUCCAUCACAGUUGGUUAAAACCAGAAAUCCAGGACUAGUGGACCAGCCAGCAGAACCCAGACCAUCCAAGCCGGCUGAUCCUGCGACAGGAGCGAGUUGCCACUGAGGACAACAACAGCCCUGCUCUGGUCAGUCCGGAAGCUGACCAGUCUAUACAUGGCUGAAGCUUGAGGAGGCAACAGCCCUGCUCUAGUCACCCCAGAAGCUGACUAGUCUACGCAUGGCUGAAGCUGGAGUAAAGUAAUGUGGUUGGAAAUCUUAAGUCCAAUAGCCUUCCUGAUAAUACUAAUUGUUUUACUAUUUA
This 642-nucleotide long non-coding RNA is filed under the name Homo sapiens (human). Its description in RNAcentral is "HSALNT0287894". The record is from RNAcentral. Lineage: Eukaryota; Metazoa; Chordata; Mammalia; Primates; Hominidae.